UUUGGGCUCUGUGCCCAGCUGUGGGUCCCCGCAGAGCUGGGUCGAUGACAAGACGCCCUGGACCACGCGCUACGGCUCCAUCGCGGGGCUGGCCGAGCUGGGCCACGACGUGAUCAAGACCCUGAUCCUGCCGCGGCUGCCGGCCGAGGGCGAGCGCGUGCGGAACAUUCUGGAAGGGCCCGUGGUGAGCACCAUCGACCGCAUCGGGGCCGACCACGUGCAGAGCCUGCUGCUGAAGCACUGUGCCCCGGUGCUGG
This is a long non-coding RNA of Pyrgilauda ruficollis (rufous-necked snowfinch), 257 nucleotides long. RefSeq lists it as uncharacterized. The transcript has 3 exons. NCBI's taxonomy places the organism in Eukaryota, Metazoa, Chordata, Aves, Passeriformes, Passeridae. The record is from RefSeq and is a predicted model, not a curated record.